RNAcentral lists this long non-coding RNA (6388 nucleotides) under Homo sapiens (human). Its description in RNAcentral is "HSALNT0161253". The record is from RNAcentral. Lineage: Eukaryota; Metazoa; Chordata; Mammalia; Primates; Hominidae.
GCCAGGCUGGUCUCGAACUCUCUACUUCAGGUGAUUGGCCUGCCUGGCAAUGGCUCACACCUGUAAUCCCAGCAUUUUGGGAGGCUGUUUCUUAUUUUAUUAGUCAAGUGCAGACACUAAAUAACUUAGGUAUGUUACAGCUACAACACAGAUAUCCUGUUUUUCAUGCUCUGUUAGUUCUACUCCCUCUAAUUAGAAACCAUUCCCCUUUGGUGCACUAGAAUUAGAGCAGGGAGCCGAGCACAAGCUGUACUGCUACAAAUGUCAAUAGCAACUGCUCUAGUUCUGGGUGAAAUACAUCUUCUAAUUAUGCUUUUGAUACUGGAGUAGAAUUGAAUGAUACAAAAGAUUAGUUUGGAACUGAAGAGUUACAAGAGUUGAUUCAGAAGAAACGAGUGCUUGUGUGUGUGGUCACUGAGCUGUGAGAGGACCUAGCAUCCCACUUGUAACUCUUCAGUUCAAAACUAAUCUUGGUCUCAGGGGUUCUACAGCAGGAAUUAGUAGGCAUGAAUCUAUUGUGUUGACACUUCCAUCACUUAAGUCUUCAUUGUAGCUUCCAGUAAAACAGGAAUAAUAAUGGACCCUAAAAAUCAAAGCAACUGUUUUGAUGUGAGUUAAUCUGGUGAUAUUAAAACAGAUUCCUGUGUAUGGCUAGAUGUUGGUACUAAUGAGGUCAAUGUGUGGUCUCCACAUUUUCUACAAUGGUAGACCCGUUGUCUCCAUGCUGAAAGCAACUGGUUCUGUAGUUUUGAGCUGUCCCACAAUUAUAAGCCACUAUUGCCAGCGGCAUCAGGUGAAUGUCUGUUGAUGGCUUAAUACCUCUCACCUUUAUUAGAGAUUUUUAGUUGAGCUAAAUUAAAUGCCCAACUGGCUAUGAGACUCUUCCAGAUAGAAGGCUGGAAACCUCAUGAUCUGAUCUGAAUAAGGUUCCUGUAUUCCCACAACCCAGAAGACCUCUCCUCUAAUUCCCUCUCCCUUUUCUCACUCCUAGGAUAGAGGCACUCUCCAUUCCUGAUUGUUCCAAGGCUCAAGUGGUCAGAAAUGACUGGGAAGAAGGGAGAAAAACUCAGGUGGCAAAGGACAUGGACGAAAACCCAUGGCGACAUGGAAAGAAAACCCUGUGAUAUAGAGAGGAAAAGCACAGGACAGCUUAUUGGGGAGAAUGGAACUCUUCUGUAUCCUGAUUGCGGUGAUGGCCACGCAUGGCUUAGAGACGGGCUUUCACCACGUUGACUAAGCUAGUCUUGAACUCGUGACCUCAGGUGAUCCACCUGCCUCAGCCUCGCUAAGUCUAAGUAUGCUAUUUUAGAAAUCUGGUUGUAUAAUCUUGGGUAGUUUCUACUUCUAACACUGAUGUUGAGCAAACCCAGUAUUCAGGAACCACUUGGUACAAGUUAAUUUUUUUUUUUUUUUUUUUUUUAGACGGAGUCUCACUUUGUCGCCAGGCUGGAGUGCAGCCAUGCUAUCAAGGCUCACUGCAAUCUCCGCCUCCCAGGUUCAAGUGAUUCCCCUGCCUCAGUCUCCCGAGUAGCUGGGACUACAGGCGCGUAACACCAUGCCCAGCUAAUUUUUUUGUAUUUUAGAAGAACAGGUUUUAACCAUGUUGGCCAGGAUGGUCUGGAUCUCCUGACCUCGUGAUCUGCCCUCCUCGGCCUCCCAAAGUGCUGGGAUUAAAGGCAUGAGCCAAUGCACCCAGCCCAAGUUAAUAUUAUUGAUCAACCACCUUCCUUAGCCCAGGAACUACGUCUUUUAGUCCAUUUGUUCUUUCUGUGAAUUAGCUUCCCUCCAGACUUACCACAUUUGACUUGUUCGCUUUCUUUGUUCCUAUCUUCUCAAAUGAGAUGGCCUAUAUUACUUAUUUAAUUUAUUUAUUUCGAGACAGAGUCUUGCUUUGUUGCCCAGGCUGGAGUGCAAUGAUGCAAUCUCAACUCACUACAACCUCUGCCUCCUAGGUUCAAGCAAUUCUCCUGCGUCAGCCUCCCAAGUAACUGGGAUUACAGGCGCCUGCCACCGUGCCCAGCUAAUUUUUUGGUUUUUUUUAGUAGAGAUGGGGUUUCGCCAUGUUGGCCAGGUUGGUCUCGAACUCCUGACCUCAGGUGAUCCACCCGUGUUGGCUUCCCAAAGUGCUGGGAUUACAGGCAUGAGCCACUGUGCCCCGCCUGCUUAUUUUUAUUAAGUUACAAGUUCUUCCAUCUUCUUUGUCAUCAUCCUUAUCUGGGUGGGUCACAAUUCAUAUUUUGCUCUUGGUAACACACAUUUUUUUUUUCUUGGUAGAAAUAGGUCUUGUCUUGAACUCCUGACCUCAAGCAAUCCUCUUGCCUUGGCUUCCUAAAGUGCUGGUAUUACAGGUGUAAGCCACCGUGCCUGGGGUAUUUUUAAUAUGAUGUAACAGUUCAGAAAAAUGUCAUCUCCCCUUCUUUCACAUGUCAUGUAUAAGUCCUUGCAAUCCAUUACCCAGAUUUACUCUGUAUUCCCAAUUUUGAGAAAUCAUAAAUGCAUCAUCUAUCUCAAAUAGUGAGUUAUCUAUCUCAAAUAGUGGGCUUUUCCUCAAAAUGAGUUCUUUUUCAGUGCAGCUUUUAGCUUAUUAAAUUACCUGUCUAAAAGUGACUGCAAAGAAAUAUAAAGGAUCCACUGGUAAUUUCUUUUUAUUAAAAAAGAAUACUUUUUAUAUUUCCUUUUAAAAUAGCUUUCAACCAGAAUUGUCUAGGAGAGGCAAAGAUAUAACCUGUUCAUCUGGUACCACUAUCACCCACAGAAUAUGAUAUGAGUUCUGAGCUUUUCCGAUUAAAGACCUUGUACUUUUGUUCUUUUAUUUAUUUAUUUAAUUUUAUUUAAUUAAUUAAUUUUUUUGAGUCAGAGUCUUGGUCUGUCACCCAGGCUGGAGUGCAGUGGCAUGAUUGUGGCUCACUGCAACCUCUGCCUCCUGGGCUCAAGUGAUUCUCAUGUCUCAGCCUCCCCAGUAGCUGGGACUACAGGCAUGCACCACCAAGCCUGGCUAAUUUUUGUAUUUUUGGUAAAGAUGGGGUCUUGCUGUAUUGCCCAGGGUAGUCUCAAACUCCUGACCUCAAGUGAUCCACCCACCAUGGACUCCCAAAGUGUCAAUUGCAGGCGUGAGCCACUGUGCCCAGCAGGAAUUUGUCUAAUAUUCUUCUCAUGAUAGACUGGGCUUAGGGGUUUGGGGAGGAUGAUCACAGAGGUAAAGUGCCAUUCUCAGCACAUCAUGCCAAGGGUACAUUGUUAAUACUGGGCUUGAUCACCUGACUGAAGGGUAUUUGUCAGAUUGCACCACUGUAAGUUCUUUUUUUUUUUUUUUUUUUGAGACAGGGGGUCUUGCUCUGUUGCCCAAGCUGGAGGGCAAUGGUGCGAUCACAGUUCACUGCAAUCUCAAUCUCCUGAACUCAAGCAAUCCUUCCACCUCAGCCUCCCCAGGCUGGUCUUGCACUUCUGGCCUCAAGCAAUCCUCCCUCCUUGAGGUGUACUGAGCCAGCUUAAGGGUACAGCUAGGAAAAAUCCAAGGCACAGAUGCAUCUGGCUGCUUUUUCCAAAGAGGUUCGCAGGAAGUUCAGUAUUUAUACAUUUUUCUUAAAUCAAGGGGGUGGCAGUGAGCAAAUAGUUACCUACUUGUGACACUUUAGUUGGUGCUCAGUAAAUCUACAGUUUACAUAAGAUAAGGUAAACCUUUGAAGAAAAGGGGCAUGAGGCUGGGCACGGUGGCUCACGCCUGUAAUCCUAGCACUUUGGGAGGUUGAGGUGGACGGGUCAUGUGGAGACAGGAGUUCGAGACCAGCCUGGCCAACAUGGUGAAACCCCGUCUCUACGAAAAAUACAAAAAAUAGCCGAGUAUGGUGGAAGGCGUCUGUAAUCCCAGCUACUUGGGAAGCUGAGGCAGGAGAAUCACUUGAAGCCAGGAGGCAGAGGUUGCAGUGAGCUGAGAUUGCACCACUGCACUCCAGCCUGGGCAACAGAGUGAAACUCCAUCUCAAAAAAAAAAAAAAAAAAGUGGACCUGAAGCUACAUCUUUCUACUACUAAAAACCUAACACGAGCAAUUUAGUUUCAGCAAACAACACCAUCUGUCUCUCAGUUGGCUCCUGUGCCCCUUUGAAAUACUCUUAUGGAAGCAGAUUUUGUUUUGUUUUGUUUUUUAGUACUUCCUUACUUUCUUAACCUAUACAGUUUUGUUUAUUUGUUUGUUUAAAGAUAGGGUCUGGCUCUGUUACCCAGUCUGUAGUGCAGUGGCAUAAUCACAGCUCACUGCAAACAUGACCUCCUGGACUCAAGUGAUCCUCCCAUUUCAGCCUCCAGAGUAGCUGGGACUACAGGCAUGCACCACCAUACCCAGCUGCUAUUUUGUUGUAUUUAUUUUUCAUAGAGACAGGGUUUUGCUCUGUUGCCCAGGCUGGUCUUGAACUCCUGGCCUCAAGUAACCCUUCUAUCCCCAUCUUCCAAAGUGCUGGGAUUACAGGCAUGAGCCACUGUACCCGGCCAUCACGUCAGCCACUUCUUUAAAGAGACUCGCACUUUUGUAAGCUCAAAAUAGCUGUUUUGUUUUGUUUUUUUCUUUUCUGAGACAGAGCCUUACUCUGUUGCCCAUGCUGGAGUGGCAAGAUCUCAACUCACUGAAACCUCUGCCUCUGAGGUUCAAGUGAUUCUCCUGCCUCAGCCUCCUGAGUAGCUGGGAUUACAGGCACACACCACCAGCCCAGGCUUAUUUUUGUAUUUUUAGUAGAGAUAGGGUCUGACCAUAUUGGCCAGGCUGGUCUCAAGGUCCUGGCCUCGAGCAAUCCACCCGCCUCGGACUCCGAAAGUGCUGGGAUUACAGGCUAAGCCAUCACGCCCAGCCUCAAAAUAGCUCCUUAAUGAGCCACUCCAAACGUUAAAACUGUUGUACAGUAUCUAGGGGUAUCCCAAAAUAAAAGGUAGAAAAAUGUUUAAUACAUGACAUAACUGGCCGGGCUUGGUGGCUCACGCCUGUAAUCUCAACUCUUUGGGAGGCUGAGGCGGGUGGAUCACUUGAGGUCAGGAGUUCAAGACCAGCCUGGCCAAUAUGGUGAAACCUUGUCUCUACUAAAAAUACAAAAAAAUUCGCUGGGUGUAUUGGCAUGUGCCUGUAGUUCCAGCUACUCGGGAGUCUGAGGCAUGAGAAUGGCUUGAACCGGGGAGGCGGAGGUUGCAGUGAGCAGAGAUCACACCACUGCACUCCAGCCCGGGCAACGGAGGGAGACUCUGUCUCAAAAAUAUAUAUACACACACACACAAAAUAAUUAUUUGCAUUUUCAUAAAGAUCAAAAUCAGAGAAGUACAAAUAGCUGACUACAAAAUAGCAUAUAUAUUAUAUGUUCUGAUACGUAUAAAAAUAUAUUUAAUCAUAUUCAUAGAAAUAAAUUGUGAGUUAUGUACAUCAACCCAAACAUGAUUCUCUAUUUCUGUAAUAGAGGUAGUUUUUACAAAAAGCAUGUAUUUCUUUCUUUCUUUUUUUUUUUUUUUGAGAUGGAGUCUUGCUCUAUUGUCAGGCUGGAGUGCAGUGGCAUGAUCUCGGUUCACUGCAAUCUCCACCUUGUGAAUUCAAGUGAUUCUCCUGCCUCAGCCUCCUGAGUAGCUGGGAUUUCAGGCAUGCAGCACUAUGCCCAGCUAAUUUUUGUAUUUUUUUAGUAGAGACAAGGUUUUACCAUAUUGGCCAGGCUGGUCUCGAAGUGAUCCACCUUACCUCAAGUGAUCCACCAGCCUCAGCCUCCCAAAGUGCUGGGAUUACAAGUGUGAGCCAUUGUGCCCCGCCAACAUUACUUUUGAAGUCAGAAACAAUUAUAAAGGAAUUAAAUAAACAUACAAGGCCAAAACACAGUUUUGUAAAAUGUAGCAUUAGCUAAAAAGUAAAACAAGGAAAGCAAUCAUAGAUGAACUAGGAUUUGAGGUUUGUUUGGGGAGUAAGGACCAACUAAUGCUAAAAGUGGUAACUUAAAGGGUUACCCAGAAAGAAUUUUUUUUUCUGGAAAAGAAGUAAUUUCACUUUGAUAUUAAGGGCUUGGAUGCUAAUAACUAUUUUACGAAUAUUAUUUCCCUACUGUAGAGUUUGGGUAAACUGUCAAGAGGUGGGGGCAAUCUCUGGAAUUUAGAAAUAAAGGGGGCUGUUAUAGUGAUUCAUGGUUGGCACCCUUCACGCUCGAUCACAUUUCCAACCAGAGUUAAGAGGAACAUGAUGAGAGUGAAGGAAUUUCAUGAGUUAGAGCAGUGGUUCUCAAACUUUUCAGUUUCUUUACACGCUUAAAAAUUACUCUAGCUGGGUGCAGUGGCUCCCGCCUGUAAUCCCAGCACUUUGGGAGGCCCAGGCGGGCAAAUCACCUGAGGUCAGGAGUUCAAGACCAGCCUGACCAACAUGGUGAAACCCCAUC